CCUACGGGAGGCAGCAGUGAGGAAUAUUGGUCAAUGGACGAGAGUCUGAACCAGCCAAGUAGCGUGAAGGAUGACUGCCCUAUGGGUUGUAAACUUCUUUUAUAUGGGAAUAAAACGUUCCACGUGUGGGAUUUUGUAUGUACCAUAUGAAUAAGGAUCGGCUAACUCCGUGCCAGCAGCCGCGGUAAUACGGAGGAUCCGAGCGUUAUCCGGAUUUAUUGGGUUUAAAGGGAGCGUAGGUGGAUUGUUAAGUCAGUUGUGAAAGUUUGCGGCUCAACCGUAAAAUUGCAGUUGAAACUGGCAGUCUUGAGUACAGUAGAGGUGUGCGGAAUGCGUGGUGUAGCGGUGAAAUGCUUAGAUAUCACGAAGAACUCCGAUUGCGAAGGCAGUUCACUGGACUGCAACUGACACUGAGGCUCGAAAGUGUGGGUAUCAAACAGGAUUAGAUACCCCAGUAGUC
Molecule: ribosomal RNA, 460 nt
Filed under: uncultured bacterium
Lineage: Bacteria
Description: partial 16S ribosomal RNA
Rfam family: Bacterial small subunit ribosomal RNA
Source: RNAcentral